RNAcentral lists this ribosomal RNA (253 nucleotides) under uncultured bacterium. Its description in RNAcentral is "partial 16S ribosomal RNA". It matches the Rfam family "Bacterial small subunit ribosomal RNA", at positions 524 to 776 of the family's 1533-position model. The record is from RNAcentral.
UACAGAGGGGGCAAGCGUUGUUCGGAAUUACUGGGCGUAAAGGGCGCGUAGGUGGCCUUCUAAGUCGAACGUGAAAUCCCUGGGCUCAACCCAGGAACUGCGUCCGAGACUGGGAGGCUUGAAUCCGGGAGAGGGAUGCGGAAUUCCAGGUGUAGCGGUGAAAUGCGUAGAUAUCUGGAGGAACACCGGUGGCGAAGGCGGCAUCCUGGACCGGUAUUGACACUGAGGCGCGAAAGCGUGGGGAGCAAACGGG